AUACGGAGGGGACAAGCGUUAUUCGGAAUCACUGGGCGUAAAGGACGCGUAGGCGGGUUAUUAAGUCGGGUGUGAAAUCCAAUGGCUCAACCAUUGAACUGCAUUCGAAACUGAUAACCUAGAGUAUGGAAGGGGCAGGUGGAAUUAGUGGUGUAGGGGUAAAAUCCGUAGAUAUCACUAGGAAUACCGAAAGCGAAGGCGACCUGCUGGGACAUUGCUGACGCUGAGGCGUGAAAGCGUGGGGAGCAAACAGGAUUAGAAACCCUAGUAGUCC
Molecule: ribosomal RNA, 274 nt
Filed under: uncultured bacterium
Lineage: Bacteria
Description: partial 16S ribosomal RNA
Rfam family: Bacterial small subunit ribosomal RNA
Source: RNAcentral